RNAcentral lists this ribosomal RNA (196 nucleotides) under uncultured bacterium. RNAcentral describes it as "partial 16S ribosomal RNA". The record is from RNAcentral.
AUUACCGCGGCUGCUGGCACGGAGUUAGCCGGUGCUUCUUCUGCGAGUAACGUCAAUCGCCAAGGUUAUUAACCUUAACGCCUUCCUCCUCGCUGAAAGUACUUUACAACCCGAAGGCCUUCUUCAUACACGCGGCAUGGCUGCAUCAGGCUUGCGCCCAUUGUGCAAUAUUCCCCACUGCUGCCUCCCGUAGGAG